CCUACGGGAGGCAGCAGUAGGGAAUCUUCGGCAAUGGGGGCAACCCUGACCGAGCAACGCCGCGUGAGUGAAGAAGGUUUUCGGAUCGUAAAGCUCUGUUGUAAGAGAAGAACGUGUGUGAGAGUGGAAAGUUCACACAGUGACGGUAACUUACCAGAAAGGGACGGCUAACUACGUGCCAGCAGCCGCGGUAAUACGUAGGUCCCGUG
RNAcentral lists this ribosomal RNA (209 nucleotides) under uncultured bacterium. RNAcentral describes it as "partial 16S ribosomal RNA". It matches the Rfam family "Bacterial small subunit ribosomal RNA", at positions 338 to 538 of the family's 1533-position model. The record is from RNAcentral.